Molecule: long non-coding RNA, 3385 nt
Organism: Triticum aestivum (bread wheat)
Lineage: Eukaryota; Viridiplantae; Streptophyta; Magnoliopsida; Poales; Poaceae
Exons: 9
Source: RefSeq, a predicted model, not a curated record
ACUUGCGUGCAUGCAACAUUUACUACUGCGGUAUAUAGUUAAUUAAUUAAAUUAACUUUAUGAGCACGUCCAUCUAGGUCUAGUCCAUGAAACAACCAGCCGUUGGAUUUAAACGGACGAGUGAGAUGGAUUCAAGAGGGGGAUUAAUCCGUGUGGGACGGCUAUUAACCAAUCGCAAGCCUUUCUUUCGUUCUUUCUUUCUUUCAUUAUUGAUUAUUCCCUCUUGUCGACUCACAUUCACAUCCAUUCCUCCCGCAUCGGGGGGGCGCGGCCACCCACCGCCUCGUCUCCCUCAGACCAACCUCGCCGCCGGCCAUGGCCUCCACCGCCCUCUCCUCCCCUCCCCUCCCUCAUCACAAGCGAAGAGAGAAGAGAGGAGAAGAGGUAGAUCGGCCGACCAGGUCAGGCGGCGGCGACAGCCCAGAUCGGCGCGCCGGCACAGGACCUCCGGCGAUGAGGCCAUGCCCUCGUGAGGAGACGGCUGCCUCGACGGAGAUCCCUUCCGCCGUCUGUUCGAAUCGACCAUGGACCUAAUUCUUCCGUCUGCUCGGGACCAACCCUAGCGCCGCGCCGCGCCGCGCGGAAGUGCAGGUGAGACGCCGCCGCCGCCAACACACCACAUGCCCGUGACCAAGCUCCUCAAGACACAGGUUGGUUCGUUCAAGGGCGACGGCUCCUUCUCUGACAGCCAGCCCGCCCGUCUCGCCGGAUGUCGACGACAGCAGCGACCUGACCUGUUUGUCAAGGGGGAGAAGAAGGAGGACCACCGGGGCUCGUCAUGGCGCGCUUCAACAACAACACGAGGAGAGGCAAGAGAGACCUCUCAAGCAAAGGAAUGCCAUUCUUAGAAGUCAAGUCUUGUAGCUUUUCUUCUUCAAGGAAAUGAAGACGGAUUAUCAUGUCUUUGGCGCGCAACUUAAUUUGUUGUCUCUGUAGCUGUAGCCAGUGCUGAUAUAUAGCUCAAGGCUCUUCUUUUGCCCCGUGGGCUGAAUAUGUUGUGAUCUCCCUCUGGAUGCCUCCAGUUUGGCAUAGGACCCGACCUGUUUGUCAAGGGGGAGAAGAAGGGAGGACCACCAGGACUCGUCAUGGCACGCUUCAACAACACCAAGGGGAGAGGCAAGAGCAGCCUCUCAAGCAAAGGCCCAUGACCCCUACAUGGCCAGCCCUCAAGCAAAGGAAUGCCAUUCUUGGAAGUCAAGUCUUGUAGCAUUUCUUCUUCAAGGAAAUGAAGCCGGAAUAUCAUGUCUUCGGCGUGCAACUUAAUUUGUUGGCUCUGUACUGUAGCCAAUGAUGAUGUAUAGCUCAAGGUGUCCUCUUUUGCAGAUGUCUAACGAAAUAGCAAGACAUGCUCUGCGUUCUUUUCGAAAGUGCGGCUUCUCACAUACAGUGGUGCAGAUGCUGUGCUCACCCGAGACGCUCCGUGAGCUCGCCGAGGAAGCACACCGCCAGGGGCCCAAUGAGUAAGUACCUCAGUUGGGCCACCUUCCUGGAGCUCUACGUUGAUGAUGAGUUCUUUGGUGGACGCGACAUCACCGUUGGUAUGUAUAUAGACAAUAUCUGCCUUUCCUUCUCGCAUGAUUACUGUUCAGAACUUUUGAGACUCUCUUUUACAGACACACAUGUUAUUGGAGGGUAAUCUGUGAAGAAACCUAUUUUCUCUAGUAGCAUCAGUGCAUGGUACACGUCUUUGGUCUGACAUACAUUUAGUUGAGGGUGAUAUUAUGGAAACUUAUUGUCUGUGUACAUAGAUCAGGAAUACAUUCAUAUUGCCGUGCUGCGUGUACCUGAUCUUGUAGUCUGUUGGGUAUUUUCUGAGAGUGACAUCACGCUCCAGUUUCUAGUGUUUCGAUUGUGAGAAUCCAAUUUUUCCAUACUAGUAGUGUUUCUAGGUGGUUAUUUCAUUCCGCGACACAUGUAUCAGUGCUUCACAAUCAUAGUGAAGAAAUCAAUGCACUAGGAAAAAUGUUUAGGAGGCUAGAAAGCUGAAAAAACUUUUUUUUGUUUCGUUUCUAUGUCAAAUGACUGGGAACAGCUUCCUUGUGUCAAACUCCCCGCGACACUUUUCCCCUGUACCAGCCGUUCCCCUUCACAAUCGAUGCUAUAGGGGUUCAUUUUACCUACUCCAGGCAUGGUGUACAUCCGGUGGUCGUCAAGCAACCUCCGGUUCUUGCUGAAUGGGUUGUCAACCUCUUGGUGGUCGUCAAUCGAUGUUGCGCAUCAUGUCCAACAACAAUGUGAUGACUGACCCUCUGUUGGCUAUUUCCCACCAACGGCUUGAUGUUGUUAUGUGGUUGUGGUCAUCUCAUCACAAUUUUCAUUUUUGUUUGGAUAUGUUUGGCAUGGUUCACUGCAAAUGAACUGCUACGCUUUUGUUUUAUAUUAUCUCUGUAAAUGUUCUGUUAAGGUUUACAAAUGUCUACUCUUGUUGUGGUAUCAGUGUGGUGCAUAGGUAGGAUUUGGUUUGCUGGGGUUCUGACAGAGAUUGUAGCGCACAACGCUCCUUUGCAUGCCCUUCCCAGUUCUUAGUUUUUAGAGAUGAGAAUGAGGAAUAGCAUUCUGAUCGUGAAUUUCAUCAUGCUGGCCAUCGCGCCCUGGCAAGCUCUAAGGUUUCAGCUCUUGUGAUAGACAUGAAUCUCAUGCUAUGUGUGAUGCCCUUCUCAUGCUUGUUUGAUUCUUAGGGCUAGGUCCAUGUCCAUGACACUUGUACCAACCACAAGGCCAAUUUUUGUUGUUUAAACUGAAGAAUGCUUUGUUUCUUCCAUUGUUCAAACUGAGGAUACCUAGGCUUGAGACUAAACCCUCUGUUACUGUUUCCCACCCAUGGCUUGGUGUUGUUCUUGUGGUGGCUAUCAAUCUGGUGCAUAGGUAGGAUUUCAGUUGUUGUGAUCCUGACAGAGAAUGUAGCCCAUAGGUAGGAUUUAGUCAAUUAUCAAUCUGGUCCAUACUGUUUAAGUUUAGGCAAUUAUUCUCUUUUUGGAAUAGGACUCAGAUCGUGAAUCUCAUCCUAUCCAUCGCGCCAUGGCAAGUUCUAUCGUUUUCAGCUCUCGUGAUAUAGAUGAAUCUUAUGAUGUAUAUGAUGCCCUUCGUCUGCUUGUUUGAUUCCCAGGGCUAGGUCCAUGCUCACGACACUUGCACCCAAAUGCUAGGUCAAUUUUUGUUGAUCUCCAGCAACAACAACGAAAAUCGUGCCCCCCCUUUUGCAUUGAGUUAUCACACACGAGAUGCCAUUGUAGGAAUUCACUAGUAGAAAAGGGAGGCAAUGGUCCAGGCCAGGUCAGCCAUUAGUCCCGGUCCAAUCCAGAACCGGGACCAAUGGGGGCAUUGGACCCGGUUCGUUAGCCCCGGGGGCCGGCCGGGCGACGUGGGCCAUUGGUCCCGGUUUGUC